Jaculus jaculus (lesser Egyptian jerboa) is the source of this 532-nucleotide long non-coding RNA. RefSeq lists it as uncharacterized. Lineage: Eukaryota; Metazoa; Chordata; Mammalia; Rodentia; Dipodidae. The transcript has 3 exons. The record is from RefSeq and is a predicted model, not a curated record.
GUACCAGCACAAGGAUGAAGGAGAUGGACACAGAGAAUAAUCAACUUCUACCAUAUCAGGGCUUCACUAGGUAGACCAGAAUGACCUCUAACUCAACACCUUCUGCUUGUCUUUUAAGUGUUGAGAUUACAUGCCUAUACCAACAUUUCCAGUCCAAAGAAGAAUUUUUUAAAUGGUUCAUUCCAGGAAGGAUAAACUGAAGGAGGAAGUCUGUUCCCCAGAGUGAGCCCUUCCCUCAGGUCAAGCAGCCCCUCUCAGAGGGGAACUUUAUAUAAGGAAGCUUAGAGGAAAAGAGCCCCUUCCUUCCUUCCUUCCUUCCUUCUACUUGGCUCCUGGAGCUGCUUGCUGCCUUCCAGCAUGGAUUGAAGACCAAUGUGGACUGAAUACCAGCGUCAACUGAAUAACUGCAUGGAUUGAAGACCAGCAGCUCCUCAGAAAGCCUCCAGGCAAUCAGUGCCAGAUUGGGACUGCUGAGGCACCUGGCCAUGUGGACUGAGCAGCUACCAGGUUCCUUGAUUCUCAGGCCUGCAAC